GACGAACGCUGGCGGCGUGCUUAACACAUGCAAGUCGAACGGAAAGGCCCUGCUUUUGUGGGGUGCUCGAGUGGCGAACGGGUGAUUAACACGUGAGUAACCUGCCCUUGACUUUGGGAUAACUUCAGGAAACUGGGGCUAAUACCGGAUAGGAGCUCCUGCUGCAUGGUGGGGGUUGGAAAGUUUCGGCGGUUGGGGAUGGACUCGCGGCUUAUCAGCUUGUUGGUGGGGUAGUGGCUUACCAAGGCUUUGACGGGUAGCCGGCCUGAGAGGGUGACCGGCCACAGUGGGACUGAGGUACGGCCCAGACUCCUACGGGAGGCAGCAGUGGGGAAUAUUGCACAAUGGGCGGAAGCCUGAUGCAGCAACGCCGCGUGCGGGAUGACGGCCUUCGGGUUGUAAACCGCUGUCGCCUGUGACGAAGCGUGAGUGACGGUAAUGGGUAAAGAAGCACCGGCUAACUACGUG
Molecule: ribosomal RNA, 468 nt
Filed under: uncultured bacterium
Lineage: Bacteria
Description: partial 16S ribosomal RNA
Rfam family: Bacterial small subunit ribosomal RNA
Source: RNAcentral